Molecule: non-coding RNA, 157 nt
Filed under: human gut metagenome
Description: 6S / SsrS RNA
Rfam family: 6S / SsrS RNA
About the family: E. coli 6S RNA was the first non coding RNA to be sequenced, but its function was unknown until recently. It consists of 184 nucleotides that fold into an extended hairpin structure with a large single-stranded internal bulge.
Source: RNAcentral
GGCACAUUGAUUAUGUCCCUGAGCCGAUACAUACAGAUUUAGGGAAGAUUCAUCCGGUAGGUGUGCAUGCCUGCCCCGUAGUAGGAAGCCUAGCACCGGAACAAUUUAUCCCGCUUUGAACUUUAGGGUUCAAGGUUUCAGAUCAAACCGGCAUCUU